AGCAGCCGCGGUAAUUCCAGCUCCAAUAGCGUAUAUUAAAAUUGUUGCAGUUAAAAAGCUCGUAGUUGGAUUUCUGGCUUGGUGCGCGCUGUCCGCCAAGGUUUCUUGGUGUGUACAGAAGUGCGCCUGCCAUCCUUCCGGAAAACGACUCUACCCUUCACUGGGCCGGGGUCGCUUCUGGAUCAUUUACUUUGAAAAAAU
This 201-nucleotide ribosomal RNA is filed under the name uncultured Glomeromycotina. Its description in RNAcentral is "partial 18S ribosomal RNA". It matches the Rfam family "Eukaryotic small subunit ribosomal RNA", at positions 569 to 766 of the family's 1831-position model. The record is from RNAcentral. Lineage: Eukaryota; Fungi; Glomeromycota.